GACGUAGGGUGCAAGCGUUGUCCGGAUUUAUUGGGCGUAAAGAGCUCGUAGGCGGCUUGUUGCGUCGACUGUGAAAACCCGCGGCUUAACCGCGGGCUUGCAGUUGAUACGGGCAGGCUAGAGUUCGGUAGGGGAGACUGGAAUUCCUGGUGUAGCGGUGGAAUGCGCAGAUAUCAGGAGGAACACCGGUGGCGAAGGCGGGUCUCUGGGCAGUAACUGACGCUGAGGAGCGAAAGCGUGGGGAGCGAACAGG
Molecule: ribosomal RNA, 253 nt
Filed under: uncultured bacterium
Lineage: Bacteria
Description: partial 16S ribosomal RNA
Rfam family: Bacterial small subunit ribosomal RNA
Source: RNAcentral